Micropterus salmoides (largemouth bass) is the source of this 447-nucleotide long non-coding RNA. RefSeq lists it as uncharacterized. The transcript has 2 exons. Lineage: Eukaryota; Metazoa; Chordata; Actinopteri; Centrarchiformes; Centrarchidae. The record is from RefSeq and is a predicted model, not a curated record.
GCUUGGGCGUGACCUCCAUCUGCAAGCUAUUUAACCAGUCACACACUAGGCUAAGGAGUCUUCUGCUUGUCUCCUGGAUGCAGUGUGCGGGUGCGCUGAAGCUGCUGAUAUCUGAAAGAGUGUGCCACACGGCUGGGCCGUAGUCUGGGGAGCCGGCAGUGCAGAGCCACCGCUACUUAGUAGAGUUACCAGAGGCCCCAAGCAGUGAGGAGGCGACAACCGGCCAGCCUGUGAUCAACAGCAGACCCGUUUCUGUCGUGUUUGGCUUCGCCCCACGCAGGAAAAAGAAGUUGAGCACACCCCGCCACGAAGAGCUGCAUUCCCAUUUAACUGACCCUGAAUUUCCCCCAUUUUGAACCAACCUUGUAACUUUCUUAGCUUCAGCCUUGUUUUAACCCUUCUUAGGCCUAUUCUGUACAAAUAAACUUGGAGGUUAUAUUUUGCACA